GUUCUCCCCGAAAGCUAUUUAGGUAGCGCCUCGGACGAAUACUACUGGGGGUAGAGCACUGUUUGGGCUAGGGGGUCAUCCCGACUUACCAACCCCAUGCAAACUCCGAAUACCAGUAAGUAAUAUCCGGGAGACACACGGCGGGUGCUAACGUCCGUCGUGAAGAGGGAAACAACCCAGACCGCCGGCUAAGGUCCCAAAGUUCUGGUUAAGUGGGAAACGAUGUGGGAAGGCUCAGACAGCUA
Molecule: ribosomal RNA, 245 nt
Filed under: Aeromonas caviae
Lineage: Bacteria; Pseudomonadati; Pseudomonadota; Gammaproteobacteria; Aeromonadales; Aeromonadaceae
Description: partial 23S ribosomal RNA
Rfam family: Bacterial large subunit ribosomal RNA
Source: RNAcentral